CCUACGGGGGGCUGCAGUGGGGAAUAUUGCGCAAUGGGGGAAACCCUGACGCAGCAACGCCGCGUGAGUGAGGAAGGACUUCGGUCUGUAAAGCUCUGUUAAUGAGGAAAUGGUACUCAUAGAGGAAGCACCGGCUAACUUCGUGCCAGCAGCCGCGGUAAUACGAAGGGUGCAAGCGUUGUUCGGAUUUAUUGGGCGUAAAGCGCGCGUAGGCGGACCCGCAAGUCAGAUGUGAAAUCUCGAGGCUCAACCUCGAAACUGCGUCUGAAACUACGGGUCUAGAAUCUCGGAGGGGGAAGGGGAAUAUCGCAUGUAGGGGUAAAAUCCGUAGAUAUGCGAUGGAACACCAGAGGCGAAGGCGCCUUCCUGGACGAGAUUGACGCUGAGGCGCGAAAGCGUGGGGAUCAAACAGGAUUAGAUACCCUGGUAGUC
This 432-nucleotide ribosomal RNA is filed under the name uncultured bacterium. Its description in RNAcentral is "partial 16S ribosomal RNA". It matches the Rfam family "Bacterial small subunit ribosomal RNA", at positions 338 to 795 of the family's 1533-position model. The record is from RNAcentral.